RNAcentral lists this unclassified non-coding RNA (460 nucleotides) under Hevea brasiliensis (rubber tree). Lineage: Eukaryota; Viridiplantae; Streptophyta; Magnoliopsida; Malpighiales; Euphorbiaceae. The record is from RNAcentral.
AACCCUAAUACCAUUUUCUCUCCUAAAGGAAAAAAGUAAAACAUUUAGGAAGGAACAAAAUCUAUGCUACAAAACAAUAUUUUUACAGAUACAGGAUCCUUGGUAUUCAUUUUUGGAGAAGAGGUGAUGAAAUAGAAGGUAAACCACAAAUUAAUAUAGCUAAUCAAUACAAUCAGAUACAAUUCAAAAGUAGUGAAACAAAAAGGACCUAGUUUAGGGCUUUCAUUUUAUUUAAAAUUGACAACCUAGAUCUUCAUUGGCACAUUAUAAACCAUGAGAACCCAAAGCUUUCAAUCUUUUAGUAUUAUCUCUCUCAGAGGAAUGGGACUCGAUGAUGAAGGGGCAAAUAAAUACAUGCAAGAGAAAUCAAGAAGUAUUUGAUCUUGAAUACACCAUAACAAACCAGCACAUGAAAUGAGUAUCGAUAACAGGGAGCCUAAGGGAGGGAGUGGAAUUUUGA